RNAcentral lists this unclassified non-coding RNA (1335 nucleotides) under Leishmania donovani. RNAcentral's name for it is "gene:LdHU3.09.0290(CDS-product:hypothetical_prote in_conserved)". The record is from RNAcentral. Lineage: Eukaryota; Euglenozoa; Kinetoplastea; Trypanosomatida; Trypanosomatidae.
UCAAGACACGGCGAGGCUUAGCGCUGGUAGUGGUGCCUGCGUAGCGUCGCGCUCUCUACUGUCUCAGGCGCGUACGGUCGCCUCCAUCUCUUUGGUCACUGCCGACGAGUCUGCGUCACGGCUCUGCGUUGGUGUGCUCGAAUCAUGAGCAAGCACUUCGCUGGACGAAAGGAUGCAGAGCGCACCACAGGGCUGGCGUACCUGCUUUCACCGUCACGCGUCCAAUCCCCGGGCGAGUUGCGGUUCCGUCGGCACGGCUACGUGCGCUGCGGUUUUGUGAUCGGCAUGUUGCUCUACUUUGUGUACUGCAAUCCGGAGUACAGUUACACCUACACGGCGCUGCGGCAGCGCUGCGGAUGGGACAUGAAGGAGUCGAUGUUCCCGCAGUAUCUCACGUUGCAGCCCUCGCGGAUCCCUCGGCCGUCAACGGCGGGCGAGCAGCAGCCCCCGCCUCAAAGUUCAUCGCCAUUGCGAUCAAGCGCAGCCGGCACUGAGGAGAACGGAUGAAAGAGGGAGGGCGAGUGACGCGUGAUGCGACGCAUCUGCGGCCCCCUACCCUCCCCCUCCUCUCGUGGCCCCCACGGCCGACUAGACGCAGGGGCUUUCCUCUUACAGCUUGCCAUGUGCAGCGUGUCUGUUGCCGCGCACCUUGUUGUCUUUUCCUCCGUUCACGGAGCGACUCUUGUUGUGUGAGUGCGAGUGCGCGUUCGAGCAGGCGUAUCUGUGUGCACCUCUGUUUGUGCAUUACACGGUUGGCCAGGUCCUGGAUGGCACGAUAGGACAGGGCAAGCGCCACCGGGGUUAAGGAGGUGCGUGAGAUGCAUGGCCGUAUUUAGCUGCUGAUGUGCACAUAAGCCAAGCGGGAAAGGGACUCUGGCGCCCUCCGACCUCCUGCUACUGCUGCGCGCCCUCUACACGCCGUCGAUGUGUCGAUUCGCACCGCGGGAAGGCAAGAGACGAGCGGGAAAGCUGCCACAAGGCCCCUCGGAAGAGCACACGGGAGUCAGGAGGUGCGCGGGGGGAGGAGGGCAAGGCAAGACCACUGCUCUAGCCGGGUUGAGCUGAGCGAAGGAGGUAAGCACGAAGCACCAGAGUGCCUGAAUCCAUCCUCUUUAUGUGUGUGUGUAUGUUGCUGUUAUCGUCUUGGCUGAUCUCCGAGAGCGUGUGCGAAAUCGUGGGCAAGGCGGAGAAGGCGAAAUAUUGUGUCAUGGGGCCACGGCGAGAUGAUGAGCGCCACGUUAUUCGUGUGUGCACAUGUAUGCGUGAAUGUGCGCGUCGUGUGGCGCGCGCGCAUCUUUGUUUGCUUUCGCCUACCUUCUCUGCUUCCAGACACAC